UACGUAGGGUCCGAGCGUUGUCCGGAAUUAUUGGGCGUAAAGAGCUCGUAGGCGGUUUGUCGCGUCUGCUGUGAAAUCCCGAGGCUCAACCUCGGGCCUGCAGUGGGUACGGGCAGACUUGAGUGGUGUAGGGGAGACUGGAAUUCCUGGUGUAGCGGUGGAAUGCGCAGAUAUCAGGAGGAACACCGAUGGCGAAGGCGGCUAUCUGGCCCGUAAUUGACGCUGAGGCGCGAAAGCGUGGGGAGCAAACAGG
RNAcentral lists this ribosomal RNA (253 nucleotides) under uncultured bacterium. Its description in RNAcentral is "partial 16S ribosomal RNA". It matches the Rfam family "Bacterial small subunit ribosomal RNA", at positions 524 to 776 of the family's 1533-position model. The record is from RNAcentral.